This 73-nucleotide transfer RNA is filed under the name Stegodyphus mimosarum. It matches the Rfam family "tRNA". Rfam says of the family: Transfer RNA (tRNA) molecules are approximately 80 nucleotides in length. Their secondary structure includes four short double-helical elements and three loops (D, anti-codon, and T loops). The record is from Rfam by way of RNAcentral. Lineage: Eukaryota; Metazoa; Arthropoda; Arachnida; Araneae; Eresidae.
AUCUUUGUGGUGUAAUUGAAAGCACACUCGACGCGUACUCGAGAGGUCCAGGGUUCGAUUCCCGACGAAGGCA